Molecule: non-coding RNA, 83 nt
Organism: Sinorhizobium fredii GR64
Lineage: Bacteria; Pseudomonadati; Pseudomonadota; Alphaproteobacteria; Hyphomicrobiales; Rhizobiaceae
Source: Rfam
GCCCCAUUGGCGGAAUUGGUAGACGCGCUCGACUCAAAAUCGAGUUCCCAAAAGGAGUGCUGGUUCGACCCCGGCAUGGGGCA